CGGUUCCACCGGCGUCACCCUUAGAUAGAGUUAUUCAGUCGAUACAGAGAUGCGCUUAAAGUGGGGGGUGUGCUGCCCCUAUUGGGCUGGGCCCUUCCCCAUAAGGCCCCACCGUUGGGGCAUAAGCGCCCUCUUGCUACCCAUAUGCAAGGCGCCGUCUUAGCCUUGCCUUCCCAGGAUCGCUCCCACACCUGUCACGUUCGUGAUCGGCCUCCUCAACUGUGUAUCGAUCGAAAGGCAGGGCGGCAGAGCCCCCAACCGACGGGAGUUGUUACGUCCAGUAUGUCCCCCCCUCGAUUCCCGACAUGCUAUGAUA
This 316-nucleotide long non-coding RNA is filed under the name Oryza brachyantha (malo sina). RNAcentral describes it as "long non-coding RNA (OBRA_LNC003583)". Lineage: Eukaryota; Viridiplantae; Streptophyta; Magnoliopsida; Poales; Poaceae. The record is from RNAcentral.